RNAcentral lists this ribosomal RNA (218 nucleotides) under Micropygomyia cayennensis. RNAcentral's name for it is "partial 16S ribosomal RNA". The record is from RNAcentral. Lineage: Eukaryota; Metazoa; Arthropoda; Insecta; Diptera; Psychodidae.
GAUCUUUAUAAAAAAAUAGUUUAAUAAAAAUUAGUUAAAAUUAUUUUUAAAUUAUUUUUUUAUUAUAUUGGGGUAAUAAUAAAAUUUUUGAAAUUUUUAUUUUUUAAAAACAACUAUAAUUGAAAUAAAUGAUCCAAUAGUAUUGAUUAGAAAAUUAAGUUACCUUAGGGAUAACAGCAUAAUGAUUUUUGAGAGUUCUUAUUGAUAAAAUAGUUUGU